Molecule: ribosomal RNA, 388 nt
Filed under: Strombidium inclinatum
Lineage: Eukaryota; Ciliophora; Spirotrichea; Strombidiidae
Description: partial Bacterial large subunit ribosomal RNA
Rfam family: Bacterial large subunit ribosomal RNA
Source: RNAcentral
UUACAGUGGUAGGGGAGCAUUCUCAUGGCGGUGAAGGUGUGUGGCGAUGCAUGCUGGAGCGAUGAGAAAAGCAAAUGUAGGAAUAAGUAGCGAUAAUGUAUGUGAGAAACAUACACACCGAAAGACUAAGGAUUCCUCCGCUAUGCUAAUCAACGGAGGGUUAGUCGGAUCCUAAGGAUAAUGCGAGAGCAGAGGCCGAUGGGAACAAUGUUAAUAUUCAUUGACCUGUAUUAAUUGCGAAGCGGGGACGGAUUUUGAAGCUUCAUACGUACUGACGGAAUAGUGCGUUGAGCGGCGGCUUAGGCCAAAGCGAAUGGGGGGACAAGGUUCCAAGAAAAGCCGAUAAGCUCUAGAUUAAUACAGACCGUACCGUAAACCGACACAGGUA